GUCGUUAUGUCUUGACGAGUAAGAGGGUCGCGACGGUGAGCGCAGAAGGGUCAGGGCGAGAGCCUGCCUGGAGCCACCGUCGGCGCAGAUCUUGGUGGUAGUAGCAAAUACUCUAGCGAGGGCCUGGAGGACUGACGUGGAGAAGGGUUUCUUGUGAACAGCCGUUGCACAAGAGUCAGUCGACCCUGAGCCCUAGGAGAAAUCCUAUGUCGAUGGGUGGCUUGACAAAAAAGGACACGAAAACUAUUUUGUUGUGCCUUAUUGAACAGCCCCUGUUGGGCAAAAGGGAAUCCGGUUCCUAUUCCGGAACCCGGCUGCGUAACCGCCACUUUGCGAGCAAUCGUUCGCGAGCGCUCGUCGGGGUAACCCAAACUGGCCUGGAGACGCCGGCGGGGGGUCUGGAAAGAGUUUUCUUUUCUUUAUAAGCGUUCGAGUACCCUGGAAUCCUAUAGCAGGGAGAUAGGGUUUGGAACGCGAAGAGCACCGCAGUUGCGGCGGUGUCCGGACCUUCCCCCCGGACCUUGAAAAUCCAGGUGAGGGCCACGCGGAAGUCGCGCCGG
Molecule: ribosomal RNA, 560 nt
Filed under: Delphacinae gen. 3 sp. 1 XHH-2010
Lineage: Eukaryota; Metazoa; Arthropoda; Insecta; Hemiptera; Delphacidae
Description: eukaryotic LSU rRNA
Rfam family: Eukaryotic large subunit ribosomal RNA
Source: RNAcentral